GGGGUAGGAGUUGGUGGAUCGUGGUGCUUGUGGGAUCCAACAGUGAGAAGGUGUGUGAGCUUAGCUGUAAGAACUUCAUAGGAACUGAAGCCUAUAAGGACUACAAGAUCUGUAAAUUGUAUUAUAUAAUCAAAUUUUUAUGCACAGAAUAUUUUUAUUGGAUGGAAUGGCAACUCAACAAAAAAUUGCUCCCAAAGAUUUGCUGUGAGGACAACAAAGAAUCCUGUCUCGUGAAGGAUAGAACGGACUUUGCCAAACUGCCUUCAAUGAUACUUGCUUUUUGUUUCUUUAUAUACAAUUGAAAGGAGUAGAUCUUCAUGAUUAAUGUACAAACAUUACAUUUAGCCAUUUUUUACACUCUCUUCCUCAAUGCAGAGUGAAGUGUGAUUAUUUCUGCUACAAUUUAUUCAAGUUUUGGUUUAAAGGUACUUUCACUGACAAUGGAAUGGUCAACAUAGAUGUCUGGACUAGCAGAUCUCAGAUCUGACAUCUCCAUAUGGCAAUCCUAAAUGAUGCCUAGCUGAAGUUUGAAAAUUACAGAGUAACUUCUAGUAUGCUAAUGGGCACUAGCUGUUUGGAAGAGAUGAUUAGUGUGGAUGCAGCACUGAGUAAAUGGAGUCCAAUUCUACCUUGGUUGGGAUGAUUCUGUUGAUAUCACAAGCAGCAGAUCCAAAGUUAUUUGUGGUAUCUCUGCCCCUAUGGGACCAAAAAGUCCAAGGUGCUAACAAAUAAAGUUGGGGAAUAUGUAACAAAAUGCUCCAGGUGAGACUAUGCAAAAGAGGGAGGGUUCCAUACAGAAUAGCUUCUAAAAUCACAAAAUGCAUUUUAAGUAAGGACAGACCUAAAUACUGGGUUUUCAGCUUCCUGUGAUGAAAAGAGCUUUUUGAACUCCAUGGAAACAUUGAGAAAGAUAAUUAGCAGCCUUAGUGAUUGAGUGACAUGAGCGGGAUUAAAAAAAAAAUCACUUAUUUACAUGUCAAAAUGUCCAUCACAACCUGUUGGUAUGGGAACAUACUGCCUUUUCUUUAGGAAAUGAGAGAGUGUAAAGAAAAUGGAUAUGUUCACUGGAUGAAUAUAUGUCCUCAGAGCUGUUACCCUGGAUUUACAGCACUGAGAAAACAUAAUCCAGUCUACUGUGUGCUGCUCUUCUUCUGUUGCCAUAAAUGGAAGAAGGACACCCCACAGGACUCAAAAACACUUUGCAAUACGUUCAUAAUCAUCAGCAAACAAGUCAUGACUACCACUCACAAAAUUACAGAACCUACCAAAACUAGGGAGAAAGGAAAUAUGAGAGGCAAGAGUAAAACUUAACAAAAAUAGUUAGGGCAAUGAAAAGAAUGAGAAUAAUCUUCUGUAGAAGGUCAGCAAUAACGUGCUGCUCAUAACAGCAAGAAAUCUUAUGAAGUACUGUGAGAAAGAAAAAGUAAACACUGCACUUGGUUUGCCAGACAGGAGUGAGUUGCAGGAAUAUAGAUGUCAAUAUGCCUGAUUAUAAGGGCUCAUCCAUUCCUAGCUGCCUUUCAUAAAAAGCUGACAUCGAUAUCAAAUAGAAACAGAAAAAGAUAUUUUAUUCAAUGAAACUAAGUGUUCUUGUAAACUCUCAAUGAAUGAGUCCUGAAGCAAGAUCUGGGUUGAUUAGACAAUGAAAAACAGUCAUCACUCAGUUGAUUUGCAAGGCUCAGAAAAUUAAUUAUUAGAGUUAUAAAUAGAAUUCAUAGUUGUAAUCAAACUAUGGAUCGAGAUAAAACACAACAGGGACAGGGGCACAAAUCUUAAGUGUUUGCUGAGAGCAUUUUUUGAAAUAUCUAAUACCUAAACCCACUUAUAGAAAUCUAGAUGUCUCUUUCUGUGAGGGAGAUGCCAAACACUGAUGUAAAUCUAUCCCAUGAAGCCAACAUGUGGAUAGUUGCUUUAGUCAGCAAUAUUUGUUCCGUGCAUAGGGAAUAAAACACUUAAGUCACAAAGUUACAGCAUGGAAAAUUUCUAAGGAAAACAAUUGCAUUCAGUGAAAAAAACCCUCUAACUGAAAUGUUUCAGGAAAUGGCAAAGUUGUUUUACCGCUCUUAAAGAAAAAUUGCAGGUUUUAAUAAAGAGAGUAAACAGAAUAUGUUCCCUAUUCCCCUGGACAUUCACUAAGUUUCGCAAAGUUACUAUUGAACUGUUCCAGUCUUGUAUUUAGCAUGCAUGUUCUACCUUCACUGCAAUAAAUUGCAGGUGGAUAAAAAUACAAAGCUCAAUGUGCUAUGUACAAAGAAGCAAAAAACUACUGUUGGAUUUUUGCCAUGUACAUGUUCAUGCAUAUUUACAUCCCUAAGGUACUACCUUAUAUCCCUGCCUUUUUACUAUGUAAGAGUUCCCUCUACUGGCUGAGCUACUGGCCUUGAUUUCCAUUUCACCAUGCUGAUUCAAAAGAUUUCAGAAUCCAAGUCUGACAAUAUUUUUUGCAGUUUCUCUGAAACUCUUUAACAGUUACAUUGAACUCUUUUGAAACUGAGGAGCCUUUAAAAAAAUAAAUGUGAAUCCACCCAGUAUGGACUAAAAAUAUUUAGAGCCAGUACAGUGGUGACAGACAGUCCCUAGCUGAAGCUGAUUGAUCAAAAGAAAAUUCAAUAAGUAAUUGAAUGUAGAGGUAAUUGAAAUACAGGAACAAUUUAAAAAGCAGGAUUCAGUAUAUUGACUUAUUUUUCCAGUCCUUAAAAUGGUCAAGUUACAAGGCUUACAUUGUAUAAUACAUUAUAGAGAGCAUUUUCUUCAAGCUGCUCCAAAAGCUAUUCUCAUUAGUCUUCUUUAUCCUAGAAUCUUACACAGCUGUGCACUGGGUGAAAGCAACUCAAAUGAAGAUAUUAGUUUGUGAAGACUGAUUCAUCUCUAUUCUUCUUUCAAGGUCCACUGAUGAAAUUCCAGGAUUUCCUUACUUAGUAAAAUUGGUUAUUUGAUCUUUAUCCACGCUGGGCACAAUACUCCCACAGAUGACUAACAGAAAUUCCUGAAUCCUCUCCAAGAAGUGUAUACCCUCUAUUGUCUUGGCUUUGAGGAAGCUGGGCAAAUCCAUCAUGCCGUUUUUACCUGAGAGUGAAGAAAUCAUUCUUGACCUCUUAGCAAAGUCAAUUGGCUAGACUCCUAAGUUCUUCAAAAUCUAUACUUCAUCAAUGAAAGGUAAUGCAUUAAUAAUGGGGAAAAUGGGAGAAGACCAGUUUAAAUAUUAGAAAGAAAACAAUAAAACAAACUGUCAUGCUCCUCUCACUGGGAAACUGGAGACAGGAAUUUUGAAAGGAAGGUUUAUCUCUCCUCUUAUUCAAGUUUUUUGAUCGAUAGAAUGCUCAAAUAUUCCUAAAAUGAAACCAAAUCAAGACAUGAAC
Molecule: long non-coding RNA, 3359 nt
Organism: Hirundo rustica (Barn swallow)
Lineage: Eukaryota; Metazoa; Chordata; Aves; Passeriformes; Hirundinidae
Exons: 3
Source: RefSeq, a predicted model, not a curated record